This 2672-nucleotide long non-coding RNA is filed under the name Homo sapiens (human). RNAcentral's name for it is "non-protein coding LINC01050:4". The record is from RNAcentral. Lineage: Eukaryota; Metazoa; Chordata; Mammalia; Primates; Hominidae.
CUCUCUCUUUGCCUACUGCCAUCCAGGAAGACGUGACUUGCUUCUUCUUGCCUUCCACUAUGAUUGUGGGAAGGCCUCCCCAGUCAUGUGGAACUGUAAGUCCAUUAAACCUCUUUUUCUUCCCAGUCUCAGGUAUGUCUUUAUCAGCAGCAUGAAAAUGGACUAAUACAGUAAAUUGGUACCAGUAGAGGGGGGUGCUGCUGGAAAGAUACCUGAAAAUGUGGAAGCAACUUUGGAACUGGGUAACAGGCAGAGAUUGGAACAGUUUGGAGGGUUCAGAAGAAGACAGGAAUAUGUGGAAAAGUUUGGAACUUCCUAGAGGCUUGUUGAAUGGCUUUGCUCAAAAUGCUGAUAGUGAUAUGGACAAUAAAGUCCAGACUGAGGUGGUUUCAGAUGGAAAUGAGGAACUUGUUGGAAACUGGAGCAAAGGUGACUCUCAUUAUGUUUUAGCAAAGAGACUGGUGGCAUUUUGCCCCUGCUCUAGAGACUUGUGGAACUUUGAACUUGAGAGAGAUGAUUUAGGGAAUCUGGUGGAAGAAAUUUCUAAGCAGUAAAGCAUUCAAAAGGUGACUUGGGUGCUGUUAAAGGCAUUCAGGUUUAUAAGGGAAGCAGAGCAUAAAAGUUUGGAAAAUUUGCAGCCUGACAAUGUGAUAGAAAACAAAAUCCCAUUUUUCUGAGAAGAAAUUCAAGCUGGUUGCAGAAAUUUGCAUAAGUAAUGAGAAGUCGAAUGUUAAUCCUCAAGACAAUGGGGAAAAUGUCCUCAGGGCAUGUCAGAGUUCUUCACAGCAGCCCCUCCCAUCACAGGCCCAGAGGCCUAGGAGGAAAAAGUGGUUUUGUUGGCUGGGUCCAGGGUCCCCAUGCUGUGUGCAGCCUAGGGACUUGGUGCCCUGCAUCCCAGCUGCUUCAGCCAUGGCUGAAAGGGGCGAAUGUAGAACGUGGGUUGUGGCUUCAGAGGGUGCAAGCCUUGGCAGCUUCCACAUGGUAUUAAGCCUGCCAGUCCACAGAAGUCAGGAAUUAGAGUUUGGAAACCUCUGCCUAGAUUUCAAAGGAUGUAUGGAAAUGCCUGGAUGUCCAGGCAAAAGUUUGCAGCAGGGGCAGGGAUCUCAUGGAGACCCUCUGCUAGAGCAGUGCAGAAGGGAAAUCUGGGGUCAGAGCUCCCACACAGAGUCCCUGCUGGCGCACUGCCUAGUGGAGUGGGCACUGUGAGCAGAGGGCCACUAUCUUCCAGACCCCAGAAUGGUAGAUCCACUGACAGCUUGCACCAUGUGACUGGAAAAGCCACAGACUAUCAACGCCAGCCUGUGAAAGCAGCUGGGAGAGAGGCUGUACCCUGCAAAACCACAGGGGCGGAGCUACCCAAGACCAUGGGAACCCAUCUCUUGCAUCAGUGUGACCUGGAAAUGAGACACAGACUCAAAGGAGAUCAUUUUGGAGAAUUAAGAUUUGAGUGACCAGCUGGAUUUCAGGUGCUGUGUGAAGAAUGGAAACAUGCAACAAUAAAGACACCAGUCCUGGUGGACCUGAUGGCCUAUGUCUGGUGUGGCGGGGGACAGAUAAGUAAACAGAUCGUCCUAUACGGGGUAGCCAACGCUAUCAUCUGAUAGAAGUAAGCAUGAGAAUUUGGAUUAAUGAAUGACGUAACUGCUUCAGGGCAACACACCCUCACUGCAGCUGCUUAGCCCAGGAAGCAGCAAGGUCAAUACAAGGAGAGCCACAGGCCUGGGGAGAUGCAUGCCUUCCUUCCUGGCCACGUGGAUCUCACUACUUAGCCCAGAUGGCCUGCGAGAAGGACAAAGCCAAGCACUUCACAACACUGUCAGUUGCUGUCCUGAAGAAGGUGGCCAGGAGCUCUAGAAGGAUUCAAAGCCCCAGGGAUUUUUGGUUUUUAUGUAUACACUUCUCUUUACAUACUUGUUCCUCAACAUCCAAUCAGCCUUGCAGGGAUGAUGUAAUAGCCAGAAAAAUAAGUGAACAGAAGAUUCCGGGUUCUACUUUAUGCCAAUUUUUCUUAAAUAUCUCAGUCACUAGAAAAAGAUCUAUUUGAAAAUCUUGCUCUGAGCAGUUUCUGUCUUGGGCCCAGUUGUUUGAGGAGCCUGUUGAAUUUUUAAAUUUAUUAGUGUUCCCAUGCUUCAUUCAUUGGCAUAUAUGUAUAUUCUCUAUACUUUAUAAUUACAAGUAAGCUCUUGAUAAUAAAAAGUAACUGUCAUUCUGUGAAGCUCUUUAAUGCAGCCAAAGAUAAUUUCAGGGGGCAAUUGGCAGUCUAAGUCCUUGCUUUCUCUCAUUUUAAAGGAGAACCAAAUCAACUUAGAGUGAAUUUGUUCAAAUGUGGGUAAGAUUUAACAGGCACUUCAGCUGCCCAGGGUACUUUUCCAUGUCUCUCCAACCAACCCCACCCAAAUAGCUUAGGAUUGGCAUUUUCUGAUGAGCACAGGGAUAGAGAAUGAGAACGGAGUCAGGUCCUCAGGUAUUCAAGGUUAGAAUUCCUUCUUAACCUUGCCCACUAUGCCCUAUGUGGGGACAUGCUACAGCAGAGAUCACUUGAGAAUUAUCCUGUGGCUCACACUGCCAUAAUUAGUUAUCUGUUCGGCACCUCUCAACUAAUCAGAACAAUGGCACAUCCAAAAGUAAAAGGAGAAGAAAGGAGACAAGAAUACAGCGACUGAAUAAUAAAA